RNAcentral lists this long non-coding RNA (328 nucleotides) under Lupinus angustifolius (narrow-leaved blue lupine). RNAcentral describes it as "long non-coding RNA (LANG_LNC003287)". Lineage: Eukaryota; Viridiplantae; Streptophyta; Magnoliopsida; Fabales; Fabaceae. The record is from RNAcentral.
UGAAACAGAAUUAUGCUGAACAUGACCAAAGAAAAGUCAUAUCAGCAAUUUGAUUGCCAUAGUAUUAAUUUUGUUCAUCACUUACCUACAUAUAUGUGGUAAUUGUAACAAUUUGCAACAAUUUCAAAGAUUAUGAAGAACUUCAGGAGAAGAUCAACAAUUUGCAACAAGAAAUAGAAGUAGGUGCAAAUAUGGCAGGCAGGCAUUUUCAAAGAUGUAAAGCCAGAUGAAAUCUUGAUUAGAAAUUUGAGAUUAGUUCAGUCCUGCACUGGUUUAGUUUUUAACUUCUUUCUUUGCAGUUUGAGGUAGAGAGCAGUUUGGACACCAG